RNAcentral lists this ribosomal RNA (209 nucleotides) under uncultured bacterium. Its description in RNAcentral is "partial 16S ribosomal RNA". It matches the Rfam family "Bacterial small subunit ribosomal RNA", at positions 524 to 731 of the family's 1533-position model. The record is from RNAcentral.
UACGGAGGGGGCUAGCGUUGUUCGGAAUUACUGGGCGUAAAGCGCACGUAGGCGGCUUUGUAAGUUAGAGGUGAAAGCCCGGGGCUCAACUCCGGAAUUGCCUUUAAGACUGCAUCGCUAGAAUUGUGGAGAGGUAAGUGGAAUUCCGAGUGUAGAGGUGAAAUUCGUAGAUAUUCGGAAGAACACCAGUGGCGAAGGCGACUUAACUG